Molecule: long non-coding RNA, 245 nt
Filed under: Trifolium pratense (red clover)
Lineage: Eukaryota; Viridiplantae; Streptophyta; Magnoliopsida; Fabales; Fabaceae
Description: long non-coding RNA (TPRA_LNC013089)
Source: RNAcentral
AAGUUACUCAACUAGAGAAUAAUCUAUCUCGUAUUGUAGAUGUCUAAAACACCAGUCAAACACGAAGACACCUGUUUCAUCGGGAGUUGGAAGCGUAAUGCAUUUUUGCAAUUUUUUAUCAUCCCAUGAAUACACUCUACAUAUUGUAGAUGAAACGAGGGUGACAUACACAAAGUUUUUCUCAUAUCCCCACUUGUUCGGGUUGCUCAAUGCAUAACAAUCUUGGCUUUAAUGCACUUUUAAUC